This is a long non-coding RNA of Brachypodium distachyon (stiff brome), 847 nucleotides long. RefSeq lists it as uncharacterized. The record is from RefSeq and is a predicted model, not a curated record. Lineage: Eukaryota; Viridiplantae; Streptophyta; Magnoliopsida; Poales; Poaceae. The transcript is spliced from 6 exons.
CAGUUUUCGAAAUUAUUAAAUAUUAGCUUUAUUUUUUCUAUGUCUUUUGCAAGUUCACCCACCUUCCCUUUCUGUCUUGGUAAGACUAUUCUCAGGAAAGUCAAACUGCAUGGGGCAAAAGGGCGUCAGCUCUGGAGCUGUUGAGCCCGAAGUUGCGAUCCCCGAUGUCUCCCGCCAGAGGAACUAUCUUUUCCUUAAAAAGCUUCUGGAAGCCAGCAAGCCCAUGCUUUUCCCGCAGGGUAUUGAACAGAUCCUUCCCAAGAACCUGCACCAGGCCAGGAAACCAAUCAAGACAAGACAAAUUCAGCGCCGGUAGUUUCCCAAGGAGGCGAUCGACGCACGAUACGCUGCUCAGCGGAGGCAGCGUCCGGUGCACACACCAGCAGGUAGAGCUUCUUCACAUCGGACUGAACCCUCAGUAUCUUCUCCACCAGCACUGCAUGUUCAUAUCGGUACAGCCAGUUGAGCCAGUGACGAGGAUGAUCUUGUCCCGGAAGCACCCAGCCACUGCAGUGGCAUCCAUCGCCUGCAGCUACAGAAAAAUAAAAUCACGAAACACCUAUGUACAAAGAGAAGUUUGCAUUGGAGUAGACGAAUUUUGAAGAGUGUUCAACGGUGGUAUUCUGAAGCCGCUGGAUCGAUGUCUGAUACAAAUGGAAGCCAGAGGCGAAGAAGUGCAGGAUCAUCUGUGACGUGGUCUGAAGCUGCAGGAGGGAAGCUGACAGGGUCCUGGGGCUGGUGAAUUCUUUCGGUUUUCAGUUGUUACUGUUGUUCUUUCCGUUUUUACUCGUGUAAGGAUGAGCUUAAAACUCUCAUGUUUCAUCUCUGCAAUGGAACGGGGCAAAUA